Molecule: non-coding RNA, 440 nt
Organism: Apodemus sylvaticus (European woodmouse)
Lineage: Eukaryota; Metazoa; Chordata; Mammalia; Rodentia; Muridae
Source: the annotation of a RefSeq genome assembly
UUCUCACAUCCUCACAUUCAGUAAUCAGCACUGAACAUAUACCACUCAUCAUGGACUUCCAGCUCAACUUGGUUUUCCUUGUUUUUAUUUUAAAAGGUGUACAGUGUGAGGUGCAGCUGGUGGAGUCUGGGGGAGGAUUGGUGCAACUUGGAAGGUCCAUGAAACUCUCCUGUGCACCCUCUGGAUUCACUUUUAGCAGCUAUGGCAUGGCCUGUGUUCGUCAGGCUCCUGAGAAGGGGCUGGAAUGGAUUGCAUACAUUAGUAGUAGCAGCAAUUACAUCUACUAUGCAGAUGCAGUGAAGGGACGAUUCACCAUCUCCAGAGACAAUGCCAAGAACACCCUGUUCUGCAAAUGAGCAGUCUAAUGUCUGAAGACACAGCCAUGUUCUACUGUGCAAGACACACAGGGAGGGAAUGCUACUGUGAGCUCAAACAUAAAC